This is a long non-coding RNA of Plodia interpunctella (Indianmeal moth), 621 nucleotides long. RefSeq lists it as uncharacterized. The record is from RefSeq and is a predicted model, not a curated record. The transcript has 2 exons. NCBI's taxonomy places the organism in Eukaryota, Metazoa, Arthropoda, Insecta, Lepidoptera, Pyralidae.
AUUGUUUGUAUACAAACAUUUUAUACUUGAAAAUAGUUUUACUAACUAAAUUGUACCUAUUUUACUAAAAACCAACACUAUUUUUGGCUGUUUACAAAUUAUGAAAAGGAGAUGUUUGCCAAGCAAUGGGAUACUACACAGCACUACAGCAGAAUAUCUAUCACUGGUUUUAUUCAUUAUCAUCAUAUGUUGAUAAUGUGUAGAAAUGGUGGAAUUUUAUUUCUUAAGCAAAUUAUUCAGAGUACAGAAAUCAUAUUUACAUUUUAUAUUAAUUUAUCUUAUUAACUGAAAUAAGAUACAUGUUCCUCUUGCAAACGGACGGUAGAGAGCUUCCACAAGGUGUCUUUAAUAUGGUUUAAUUUACAUAUGAAUUUUGGGUUUUAUUGGUUUCAUAAAGAUACUUCAUAAUUUUUUUUUAAUCUCUUAUGUACAGACAUAGUUCCACUUACAGUUUUAUUAUAUGCAUAGAUAAUAUAACAUAACUGGGCAGGGUUCCGCCUAUUAUAUUGUGUGAUGUGUGACAUGUUUGCCCUCGGUUGUAUUUUUAAAAAGGCUAAUUUUAAUACCAUCAGUGAAUUAUAUUUUUAGUCUAGUUGUACUAAAUAUAAUAAAGAUGAAAGA